CACAGCUGCUGAGAACUUCCAGAUGGAGCAUGACUGGAAGGACGAAUUUGAGGGCGAUGAAAUCUCCUACUACAACGCAAAGGACAAUCUGGAUGUAAAUGAGACGGAGGGAAGGAAAUUCAGGAUUCGACCAGACUUUAAAGAGGACCUGUCAU
Molecule: long non-coding RNA, 155 nt
Organism: Notothenia coriiceps (black rockcod)
Lineage: Eukaryota; Metazoa; Chordata; Actinopteri; Perciformes; Nototheniidae
Exons: 3
Source: RefSeq, a predicted model, not a curated record